This 42-nucleotide ribosomal RNA is filed under the name Quambalaria eucalypti. RNAcentral's name for it is "partial 28S ribosomal RNA". Lineage: Eukaryota; Fungi; Basidiomycota; Exobasidiomycetes; Microstromatales; Quambalariaceae. The record is from RNAcentral.
UCUGGCCUCAAAUCAGGUAGGACUACCCGCUGAACUUAAGCA